AUUGAACGCUGGCGGCAGGCCUAACACAUGCAAGUCGAGCGGAUGAAGGGAGCUUGCUCCUGGAUUCAGCGGCGGACGGGUGAGUAAUGCCUAGGAAUCUGCCUGGUCGUGGGGGAUAACGUCCGGAAACGGGCGCUAAUACCGCAUACGUCCUGAGGGAGAAAGUGGGGGAUCUUCGGACCUCACGCUAUCAGAUGAGCCUAGGUCGGAUUAGCUAGUUGGUGGGGUAAAGGCCUACCAAGGCGACGAUCCGUAACUGGUCUGAGAGGAUGAUCAGUCACACUGGAACUGAGACACGGUCCAGACUCCUACGGGAGGCAGCAGUGGGGAAUAUUGGACAAUAGGCGAAAGCCUGAUCCAGCCAUGCCGCGUGUGUGAAGAAGGUCUUCGGAUUGUAAAGCACUUUAAGUUGGGAGGAAGGGCAGUAAGUUAAUACCUUGCUGUUUUGACGUUACCAACAGAAUAAGCACCGGCUAACUUCGUG
RNAcentral lists this ribosomal RNA (484 nucleotides) under uncultured bacterium. Its description in RNAcentral is "partial 16S ribosomal RNA". It matches the Rfam family "Bacterial small subunit ribosomal RNA", at positions 30 to 507 of the family's 1533-position model. The record is from RNAcentral.